GUGCACCAGUCGAGAAACCUCCGCAAUGCGGGAAACCGCGACGGGGGACCCCGAGUGCCGUGGCAACGCCACGGCUUUUCCGGAGUGUAAAAAGCUCCGGGAAUAAGGGCUGGGCAAGGCCGGUGGCAGCCGCCGCGGUAAUACCGGCGGCCCGAGUGGUGGCCGCUAUUAUUGGGCCUAAAGCGUCCGUAGCCGGGCCCGUAAGUCCCUGGCGAAAUCCCACGGCUCAACCGUGGGGCUUGCUGGGGAUACUGCGGGUCUUGGGACCGGGAGAGGCGGGGGGUACCCCUGGGGUAGGGGUGAAAUCCUAUAAUCCCAGGGGGACCGCCAGUGGCGAAGGCGCCCCGCUGGAACGGGUCCGACGGUGAGGGACGAAGGCCAGGGGAGCAAAACCGGAUUAGAUACCCCUGUAGU
RNAcentral lists this ribosomal RNA (414 nucleotides) under uncultured microorganism. RNAcentral's name for it is "bacterial SSU rRNA". It matches the Rfam family "Archaeal small subunit ribosomal RNA", at positions 330 to 745 of the family's 1478-position model. The record is from RNAcentral.